GUAGGACUACCCGCUGAACUUAAGCAUAUCAAUAAGCGGAGGAAAAGAAACUAACAAGGAUUCCCCUAGUAACUGCGAGUGAAGCGGGAAGAGCUCAAAUUUGAAAUCUCCUUCGGGCGAGUUGUAAACUGGAGAAGCGUUAUCAGACGUUGACCGCACUAAAGUCUCCUGGAAUGGAGUGUCAUAGAGGGUGGGAAUCCCGUGCUUGGUGCGAUUGCGGCGUUGUGGAGGCGUUUUCUAUGAGUCGAGUUGUUUGGGAAUGCAGCUCAAAAUGGGUGGUAAACUCCAUCUAAAGCUAAAUACUGGCGAGAGACCGAUAGCGAACAAGUACCGUGAGGGAAAGAUGAAAAGGACUUUGGAAAGAGAGUUAAAGAGUACGUGAAAUUGCUGAAAGGGAAGCGCUUGGAGUGAGUCGCGCGGGCGGGAGUCAGCUCUGCGUACUUCCUGCCCGUGGGCCAGCAUCGACCUUGGACGGCGGAUAAGGGCGGUGGGAAUGUGGCAUCUCCGGAUGUGUUAUAGCCCGCUGUCGUACACGCCGACCGGGGUCGAGGACUGCUUAAAGGAUGCUGGCGUAAUGGCUCUAAGCGACCCGUCUUGAAACACGGACC
RNAcentral lists this ribosomal RNA (608 nucleotides) under uncultured Dacrymycetes. RNAcentral's name for it is "eukaryotic LSU rRNA". It matches the Rfam family "Eukaryotic large subunit ribosomal RNA", at positions 15 to 667 of the family's 3401-position model. Lineage: Eukaryota; Fungi; Basidiomycota; Dacrymycetes. The record is from RNAcentral.